Brachypodium distachyon (stiff brome) is the source of this 136-nucleotide non-coding RNA. Lineage: Eukaryota; Viridiplantae; Streptophyta; Magnoliopsida; Poales; Poaceae. The record is from Rfam.
AAUAUACUCCCUCCAUACAACAAAUGAUGUCUCAAUUUUGACUAAAUUUGAAUGCAUCUAUACACUAAAUCAUGUCUACAUACAUCCAAAAUUUAACAAAUUUGAGACAUUUUUUGUUGGACGGAGGGAGUACUGU